Molecule: transfer RNA, 69 nt
Filed under: Marmota marmota marmota (Alpine marmot)
Lineage: Eukaryota; Metazoa; Chordata; Mammalia; Rodentia; Sciuridae
Also listed under: 2 other names
Rfam family: tRNA
About the family: Transfer RNA (tRNA) molecules are approximately 80 nucleotides in length.
Source: Rfam by way of RNAcentral
GGGGUUGUGGCUCAAUGGUAGAGCACUUGCCUACCAUGUGUGAGGCACUGGGUUCAAUUCUCAGCACCA